Salvia hispanica is the source of this 811-nucleotide long non-coding RNA. RefSeq lists it as uncharacterized. NCBI's taxonomy places the organism in Eukaryota, Viridiplantae, Streptophyta, Magnoliopsida, Lamiales, Lamiaceae. The record is from RefSeq and is a predicted model, not a curated record.
UCAGAUUGGUGUUGGAGUGGACAAUGCGGCGUCGUAGAUUGAUUGAGUUUUUGAACUCCGGCGUCGGAACGCCGCUGAUGCCUAAUCGAACCUUCGAAACCUAUGUGUUUUCUCUUUUUAAUGAGGAUUUGAAGUCGGGUACGUCGGAAAGAAUUUCGGGCUUUUCAGCCCGUUUAUGAUGUCGGAAUUCUGCAGUUUUAAUUCAUCCUAUGUUAUUUAAAUCAUAAAGUUUGGUCAAAUUUUAGAAUAUUAAAUUAUUUUAAUUUUUCACAUUGUCAAAUUUGUGAAUAAAUCAAUGUCUUUUGGAGAUGUUAAAACACGUUGUCAAUAAUCCUUAUUAAAGACUCGACACACAUUCAUAUCAUGAGAUGCGUCGCAUCAACACCGGAAGCUACGAAGAAAUGGUGUGUGCGAAGCAGUGGAUGCACAACUGUAAGCGAACAUUGACUUCGUGUGCGGCUUAGAUAGCCUCGACUGCGGGCCUAUUGAAGGUGGCGCGGUCUGCUUUGAGCCGGACACCGUUAGAUCACACGCGGCUUAUGCCAUGAAUGCUUAUUACCAAUCCAACGGCCGGGAUGAUGUUGCUUGUGACUUCGGUGCCACUGCUGCCCUCACUACUAAUGAUCCUAGUAUACAUACUGCUUCAAGUAAUCCAAUCAAAUUUUGGAUUCUCUAUUUUAUGAUACUAUUUCUUAGUGCCUAGUGGCUUUAUUUGGGCGUGAUUCAAGAUUGUAACUUGAAAGGUGGAUUACGUAUGUGGAACUUUAAAUGUAAACAGAUUUUAGAUUUAUGGAUGCUUCAUUGUUAUUCA